UACGGAGGGUGCAAGCGUUAUCCGGAUUCACUGGGUUUAAAGGGUGCGUAGGCGGGCAGGUAAGUCAGUGGUGAAAUCUCCGAGCUUAACUCGGAAACUGCCAUUGAUACUAUUUAUCUUGAAUACUUUGGAGGUAAGCGGAAUAUGUCAUGUAGCGGUGAAAUGCUUAGAUAUGACAUAGAACACCAAUUGCGAAGGCAGCUUACUACACAGUUAUUGACACUGAGGCACGAAAGCGUGGGGAUCAAACAGG
RNAcentral lists this ribosomal RNA (253 nucleotides) under uncultured bacterium. RNAcentral describes it as "partial 16S ribosomal RNA". It matches the Rfam family "Bacterial small subunit ribosomal RNA", at positions 524 to 776 of the family's 1533-position model. The record is from RNAcentral.